Molecule: transfer RNA, 84 nt
Filed under: Felis catus (domestic cat)
Lineage: Eukaryota; Metazoa; Chordata; Mammalia; Carnivora; Felidae
Rfam family: tRNA
About the family: Transfer RNA (tRNA) molecules are approximately 80 nucleotides in length. Their secondary structure includes four short double-helical elements and three loops (D, anti-codon, and T loops).
Source: Rfam by way of RNAcentral
GCCCGGCUGGCUCAGUUGGUAAGCAUCCGGCUUCGGCUCAGGUCAUGAUCUCACAGUCCGUGGGUUCGAGCCCCGCGUCGGGCU